RNAcentral lists this ribosomal RNA (251 nucleotides) under uncultured prokaryote. RNAcentral's name for it is "partial 16S rRNA". It matches the Rfam family "Bacterial small subunit ribosomal RNA", at positions 525 to 775 of the family's 1533-position model. The record is from RNAcentral.
ACGGAGGGUGCAAGCGUUAAUCGGAAUCACUGGGCGUAAAGCGCACGUAGGCGGUCCGGCGUGUCAGGUGUGAAAUCCCCCGGCUUAACCGGGGAAUUGCACUUGAAACUACCGGACUUGAGUAUUGGAGAGGGUGGCGGAAUUCCAGGUGUAGAGGUGAAAUCCGUAGAUAUCGGGAGGAAUACCAGUGGCGAAGGCGGCCACCUGGACGAUUACUGACGCUGAGGUGCGAAAGCGUGGGGAGCAAACAG